CACCCUCACUCCUCAUCCACUCCAAAAUUCAACGCAGCAUGCCGGGCCCCAGGCAGGGAAGGGCCCCCUGUCCAGUGGACACGUGACCCACGUGACCUGACCUAUCAUUGGAGAAGACUCACAUUCUUUACCCUGCCCCUUUUGCUUUGUAUCCAAUAAAUAACAGCGAAGCCAGACAUUAGGGGCCACUACCGGUCUCCGCGCAUUGGUGGUAGUGGUCCCCGGGGCCCAGCUGCCUUUUAUCUC
Symphalangus syndactylus (siamang) is the source of this 246-nucleotide long non-coding RNA. RefSeq lists it as uncharacterized. The record is from RefSeq and is a predicted model, not a curated record. Lineage: Eukaryota; Metazoa; Chordata; Mammalia; Primates; Hylobatidae.